Elaeis guineensis (African oil palm) is the source of this 3327-nucleotide non-coding RNA. The record is from RefSeq and is a predicted model, not a curated record. Lineage: Eukaryota; Viridiplantae; Streptophyta; Magnoliopsida; Arecales; Arecaceae.
UUGGACAAUGGUGCAACUUUGCAAUGUAUGCUUUAUUGUCAGAUUACGUAUCAGACAUUGCCUCAAUUUGAACUAGUUUCUUCUUUUAAAAUUAGGCUGGAUGUGAUGUAAUCUGUGUUUCUUGUUUGGCUUAAAUGAUACUUAAAAAUGAUCAUGUGGUCUGCAUGUGCAUAUGGCUUUUUCAGCAUGGGAAUUGACAUAUUUGCUGAUAUCUAGUCAUGGGAAUCUCCUUGAUUUUAUGAGCUUUUUUAUUAUUUCAUUAAGUAUACAUAUAGAUCUCUGGUUGUUGAGAGUGCUCGUUAGAACUAGCAUUAGUCUUUAGUGAGUUUUGUUUAUUAUCUUAAUUUUCUGAAUCCGAUGACUCAUAUGUGCUUAUAUAUUUGAGUUUCACUUUCUUUAGUCACCCUUUAGAUUUAGCACUUCUAUUGCUUUCAUCUGAUCAUUAUACCAUCUCUCACACCAUCCCUUCCUUGUUGGCUGAUUCCAUAUGACUCAUGGCAAUCUUUAGUUUUCCUCUUAGAUGUUCUUUAUGGAUGAUCAACAUUGAGUUCAAGAAGCAUAAUCAUGGAGGGAGAGCAGCAAUGAGCUUGGGGGGGAGGGGGCAUUUGUGUCAGAAACUUUAGUGGAGCAUGUACAUCAUCAACAUAUUAAUUUGGUUUACUUUCUGAAUGCAUUCUUUGAUUCUUUGAUACUUGUUUUAUUUGUAAAUGAGAUUAUAGAUUUAGUUAUAUUCUAAUGUGUUAGCCAUCAGGCCUCUUUGGUACAAAAUUACCCGCAUAAUAAACAAACCCGACCAUUUUUCUCGAGAGGGGGAGAAAAAAAAAGGACAAAUAUCCCCCGCCUGCGAGCCCUGACCAGUAGAACGUCUUAGAAUCCCCAAAGCAAACCCCAAUCCCCUCAUUCGUUCUUGAACCCCUCUCAAUUAACAUUCCCAUGACCAGGCUUUGAGACCACCGCUGUGAAUCUAAAGGAGAGAAAGAAGAGAAGAAAGAAUUGAAGGUAUCCUUUAUGCACUUCUUUCUCUCAAAACCUGUCGGUGUUGGAUCGCACAGCUGAAAUCUUCCCCGAUACCCGAAAAUACGGUGAGAAUCGAAGUUGAAAUCUUCCCCAAUGCUUGGUAGUAUCCGUCUUUCUUGGAUCGUACAGCUGAAAUCUUCCUUGAUGAUCGGCGGAUGCAGCGUGCAUUUUCUUCCGUUGUCGUCCAUGGCGUGUGUUCCAUUUCUUCGAUCUAUCUAUCGUAGGCACGGCAUGUCGAAUCAGAAUUUCCUACACAAAAUAUCUAGAUAUUUUGGAGCUACAGUAGAAAAGAGAAUCCUAGAUCAAUGGGAUAUGCCACAACAUACAUGUGGCCACGGUGACCCAAGAUUUACUGGUCUUGGUAAGAAACCAACUAUACUUGGUCAAUAUUUCAUAUAUCAUUUCAUAUCAGAAUUCUUACUGCUUUUCAUUCAGUUCGGGCUGUCCACUAUUUUCCUACAGCUUACGGUUGCAUGGCUUUCACAUCAACUUAAGCAUCCUCUUGUCUACUACAAUUAUAUCAUUGUGCAGGCAUUUUCUGUUGGGCCCAUUUUUCAUUCUAUUAUAUCGUUUUGGUGAUCCCUAUACUUAUAAAUCCUGUUUUGGUUGUCUCUAUAGAUGUAAAUCUAUUUUGGCUUGUAUAUCUUAUUGCUUACCUGUACUCUUCAGCUUUAAUUAAUAUAUCCCGGUCCAGUUUGGACCAGGUUCACACACACACACACACAAGAAAAAAAAAGCAUUGUACAUGAAUUUACUGUAAAUAUUUGUGCAAAAAAAUGCGUAUUUGUGACACAAGCUAGUAGUUUGGCUGAUGGGUGCCCAUCUGUCUAAGUAUUUCAUGUUUAAAUAUCAGUAAUGGCCUAUGGAUUAAAGAAAAUGGUGUAUUUUUGUUUUUUUAUCAAAUUAUUGCAUAACCACUGCAAUAUGACAUGUAUGACGAAGCUUAGUUUGGCAAACUUUGAAACAUGAAAAGGACCUAUUAAUAAAGAUAGAAAAGGAAGAUAAAUAGGUGGAACAAGAAAUCUAACUUGAUAACUUUCUUAGAAGACAACUCCUAGGAUAAAUAUUGUGUAGUAAUGCUGCGCUAGGUUAACUCAACGUUGCCCAAGCCUAAAAUGUGGCUUGGAUUAGCUGAGACUAAUAUUUUGCAAAACUGGACUGGAUUUGGAAUAGCAGAUACUAUUAGAAUGGUUGAGUUUGGUUUGAACGCCUAAGCAACAAAAUCUAACCCAAUUCUAACUUGCUUUCUAGUCCAUCCAAUCGAUCCCAAAUUGGGCAUGCAGCUCUUCCAAAUACUAGGCCCUUAAACAAGUUAGCAUACCUCAACUUAACUCUAAUUGACUAAACUUAGCCUAACCAAAUCUGACACAAGUCAUCACAAACUAUGUUCAAGUUAUAAAUAGUGAAGUAAAGUUGGGUUUGGGUUCCAUUGAUUGGAUUCUGAAUAGGGCAGGCUAUGCAAGCUUUAAUCAAAACAAAGACAUGCUUAAUCUCACAAACUGUCUCUAACAUACAUAGAACAUCUUAUUAAACAAGUAUAGGGACAAUAUCUAGUUAAUUUUCUUGAAAGAGAAAGCUGGUGUUUAUGAUGUACAAAAGAAAUUAUAAACACAUUAACAUAGACAGAGUAUAAAGACUUGUAAAAAAAAUAUAGUAAAAGAAACAUUUGGUGAACUAUUUAAAAUAGAUAUCCUGUCUCUCUCUACAUACACACACACAAGCUUAUAACCUCAUGCGAUGCAUGGGAUGUAAUUUUUUUUAAAAUAAUAUGUAAUUUUAUUUAUCCAUUUAUUAUAUCUAUUUUAUAUAUUUAAAAAUAAUUAAAAAAUUAUAUUUUAUGUAUUGUAUGCAUUAUAAGUUAUUGGACAAAUCUUGUGAAGAUCCGACGAUCCUGACUCAAUGAAACUUUUUUCUAAACUCAUCAUCGACAAUGUUGCUUGUUCACCACCAUUGGCACUAAUGGUAGUAGCAUGUUCGAGUUUGAGAUGAAGAGAAAGUAUAUCAAUAUACGGGAUUUCAAGUAAUUUAUGAAGAUGAAUUCAUCAUAUUUUUAAAUUAAUUGAUAAUAUAUUUAUACUUUUUAAAUCAAUACAAAAUUUGAGCCAUUGUCCAAAACUUUCCUGUUGGGCCUCUCCAAGCCUUUAGGCUCAUCUGAUUGAGACUUCUGAACAGAAAAAAUAGAGGAAGCACCGAAUACCCCCUCUAAUCAUACCAUCCGAACCCCCUCCUUUUUAGAGACCAAUCUUCGAAUGGAUCGUCUCCAAAUUCGAACCAAUCAAACAUCUUGUUGAAUCUGACAUCCAUCGUCGC